Molecule: ribosomal RNA, 1230 nt
Filed under: Sanguirana aurantipunctata
Lineage: Eukaryota; Metazoa; Chordata; Amphibia; Anura; Ranidae
Description: partial 16S ribosomal RNA
Rfam family: Bacterial large subunit ribosomal RNA
Source: RNAcentral
GCCUAACGUCUAGCCCGCACCACUCGCAUGAUACCCCUCCCCACCCCCCUCCCCAACAAAACAUUUUAUCCCUUUAGUACAGGCGAUCGAAAAACUUUUAGGCGCUUCAGAUUUAGUACCGCAAGGGAACGAUGAAAUAAAAAUGAAAUAACUCUAAAGCCCUAGACAGCAGAGACUCCCCCUCGUACCUUUUGCAUCAUGGUCUAGCUAGUCUAACCAAGCAAAACGCGAACUUUAGUUUGUCAUCCCGAAACUAAGUGAGCUACUUCAAAACAGCCUUAAGGGGCCAACCCGUCUCUGUCGCAAAAGAGUGGGAAGAUUUUCAAGUAGAGGUGACAAGCCUACCGAACUUAGAGAUAGCUGGUUAUUCAGGAGAAGAGUCUUAGCUCUGCCUUAAGUUUUCUUAUUAAUCUAAACAAAUCUUUAAAAUUAAGAAAAUCCUUAUUAACCCCUCACCCCUACUGAAUCAUUUUAUAACGCUAUAAAAACUAUUAUGCUAGAACUAGUAACAAGAAAUUGCCUUUCUCCUGAAUGUAAGUCAGAACCGAAAUAAACCCUAUCGGUAUUUAACGCGAGUGCAUUAAAUAUAGCAACACACACCUAGAAAAUCCUAUUAACCCCCCCCCCCGUCAACCUUACACCAGAACAUUACAGGAAAGAUAAAAGAAAGAGAAGGAACUCGGCAAACCAUAGCCCCGCCUGUUUACCAAAAACAUCGCCUCUUGCUCCCCAUAAGAGGUCCAGCCUGCCCAGUGACAUAGUUUAACGGCCGCGGUAUCCUAACCGUGCGAAGGUAGCAUAAUCACUUGUUCUUUAAAUAGGGACUAGUAUCAACGGCAUCACGAGGGCUAUACUGUCUCCUCCUUCCAAUCAGUGAAACUGAUCUCCCCGUGAAGAAGCGGGGAUGCAUAUAUUAGACGAGAAGACCCCAUGGAGCUUAAAAUUUAAUGUACACCUCCAUCCAUUAAAUCAAUAUAACCGGACAACUGUACAUGAAUUUUGGGUUGGGGUGACCGCGGAGUAUAAAAUAACCUCCCCGACAAACGGGCUAACGCCCUUAUCUACGAACUACCACUCUAAGAAUCAAUAAUUUGAUGUUUAAUGACCCGAUAACUCGAUCAACGGACCAAGUUACCCUGGGGAUAACAGCGCAAUCUACUUUAAGAGUCCCUAUCGACAAGUAGGCUUACGACCUCGAUGUUGGAUCAGGGUAUCCUAGUGGUGCAGCCG